Molecule: microRNA, 21 nt
Filed under: Daphnia pulex (common water flea)
Lineage: Eukaryota; Metazoa; Arthropoda; Branchiopoda; Diplostraca; Daphniidae
Also listed under: 1 other name
Description: Dpu-Mir-2-P2_5p* (star (passenger))
Source: RNAcentral
CGUCGGAAAGGCUGUGGUGUG